Molecule: ribosomal RNA, 497 nt
Filed under: uncultured bacterium
Lineage: Bacteria
Description: partial 16S ribosomal RNA
Rfam family: Bacterial small subunit ribosomal RNA
Source: RNAcentral
GACGAACGCUGGCGGCGUGCCUAAUACAUGCAGGUUGAGCGCUGAAGGUUGGUACUUGUACCGACUGGAUGAGCAGCGAACGGGUGAGUAACGCGUGGGGAAUCUGCCUUUGAGCGGGGGACAACAUUUGGAAACGAAUGCUAAUACCGCAUAAAAACUUUAAACACAAGUUUUAAGUUUGAAAGAUGCAAUUGCAUCACUCAAAGAUGAUCCCGCGUUGUAUUAGCUAGUUGGUGAGGUAAAGGCUCACCAAGGCGAUGAUACAUAGCCGACCUGAGAGGGUGAUCGGCCACAUUGGGACUGAGACACGGCCCAAACUCCUACGGGAGGCAGCAGUAGGGAAUCUUCGGCAAUGGACGAAAGUCUGACCGAGCAACGCCGCGUGAGUGAAGAAGGGUUUCGGAUCGUAAAACUCUGCUGGUAGAGAAGAACGUUGGUGAGAGUGGAAAGCUCAUCAAGUGACGGUAACUACCCAGAAAGGGACGGCUAACUACGUG